CUCAUGAGUGGAAUAAUCCAUUUGAUGGACUAAUAAUCUGAAAGGACUACAGAAAUGGCUGAAGAACUGUGAAGGAGGGGAAAUGUUCACACAGUGGCUUUAUGAGGAGAUUCAUGCCUGGAUCAGCCAUGACAUCUGAUCAGACAGAUUAGAAAAGAUUUAAAACUUCACCUGUAUCACAAACUGUACCUCUGCAAGGACAGUGAGAAGACACAGCUGUCUGCCUUGGCCCUCUUGCCAUACCAAGUGGAUUUUGUCAAGGCAUCUAUUGUGAGGGUAAAGAAGCUCAUUCGUUUAAUGACACAUUGGCUCAAGUCAUCAUUUGCCAACCCCACCGAGGAAAAUAAGUGUGUAACCAGCACAUGGGCCCCAUGUGAGCCUUUCUCUUUUCAUGUCCCUUUUCUUUAUUCUUUCAGGUCCCACCCCUUUCCUUGGAGGCUGAGGGGAUGGGGGUGGGCAUAAAUGCUGUUAUAGAAUAUGGAACAUCUGUAGGGUAUUAUUCCAAAACACAGAAUAAUGGUUUGGUAGGAACCAAAGAGUAGAAGCAAAAAUAUUCAGUGGUAUAACUGAAUAGAUUGAUGUGAGGAAGGAAGGCACAGAAAAGAAAAAGAGAAACUCCUAAUAUGAUUUGAAUGGGACCUUUGAUGCUUGUGCUUCAAGUUUUCCUCCUGUGGCAGCCAGUUCCUCCAGGCUGAGCUGUUUUCCAGAGAGCAGGAUCUGCAAAAGUUGACAUGUGCAUAUUUCAGUGUCUUUCCUUUCCUUCGUUUGCAACAAAAUCUAAGCUAUGGUGAAGGGAUGCAAAAGAGACACAGUGAUGGUUUGAAUAUUUCAAGUAAAACAUUUGAAAAACAGAGAACUGGAAUAAAUUUGUAUAAAUUCUCCAUUCGGCAGAAAUAGCAAAGAUGGGGAUUUCUUAUAACAUUUAUACAUAGCCACUUUCUACAGGGAAUUUGUCUUCAUCUUUGUAUAAAGUUGCUAAUAAUCUUUAUUGGUUAAUCUGAAUGACACAUUCUCUGUUUACUCUUUGUAUAUGUUUGUGUUUAACAUUGAUGUUAACAUUAGUCACUUUGUAAA
Molecule: non-coding RNA, 1074 nt
Organism: Ictidomys tridecemlineatus (thirteen-lined ground squirrel)
Lineage: Eukaryota; Metazoa; Chordata; Mammalia; Rodentia; Sciuridae
Source: RefSeq, a predicted model, not a curated record